UGUCCCCCCCCUCCCGGCGGGCGGGGAGAGCGGGGAGAAGAUGGCGGCCAUUUUGUGCUUGCGCAGAGGCGAAGGUGGGAUAUGGAAACCAGAAGUGCUGUGAUAUCACUGGAAUUUUCUUCUCACCUCCCCUGUGAAAUCCCCAAACCUGCUGUAAGGGCGACCUGAGAAACGGAGCCAAAUGGAAAGUGGUUUUCUCAAAUCCUUCAGGUUACAAGCAGCUGGGAAACAGAUGAUCCUUGAAGUAAUUUUUAAACAAAUUACUCAUUGCUACAAGAUGAUGCUGACAAGUAAUAUGUGGAGAAGUGCAGCUAGCAGAGUUAUGAAAUAAGAAAGGCAUUUCUGCAGAAGAUAGAAGAUGGAGGAGGUAAAUUAGUUGCUACGUUGCUUUGAGAGGAUACUAAAUCUUAAAACACUUCUUACUCCUUAUUAGUAACACAAUGGCUCAAAAGGAGGGAGGAAGUAAGUGUGAAAACCACUGAGCUGCAGAAGAUCAACACUUCACUCUUCUCACUUUAUGAUUUGAUACGAGUAAUACCAGACACUUUCAUCAGAUGCAACUUCAAAGUUGCAAAACCACAACCAAAGUUAAAGAGUAGCCUCAUUGAAUGGGAGAGAGGGGAGCAAAUAUGAAUCAAGUUUCCAUUCAGAUUUCAUGUUCUCACUGACUUCACUGACCUCCAACUGACUCUGAGCAGCAAGAUCAGAACAAUCACUUUGUUCAUGGCGUGCAUGCAUAGGCUGCAGCCAAAAGAAAUCAUCAUUUUCAUGGUGCAGGAUGUAAGACCAUUAAAAUACCUUCAGUAAGCACCUCAGUUUAUCAUUUGCUCAGUCCUGUAGUCCAUGGAUAAGCACACUGAACAUUGGUCUAAACAAUCUCAAAAAAUAAAAUUUGCAUCAGAAUUAAACAAUCCAGCGAUUCUCUAAGAUUGACAAUUAUUGUAAUAGAUUCAACAACUGGCACUACUUCUAUUGGCAUAAACUGCCCAAAAUGCCAACCUUAUGUCCUAGUGAUCAGGUCUCAGAAAUGGAAAUGGAGGAUGGCCAAAAUCCACACUUUCUAAGAGCGUUUAUGUCUUGAUAUUUGUCCUCAAGAUCUGAGAGUUGUACUAGGACACCAAAGAAGUAAUGGUCAUACUGCACUGUCAUAGGCCACCAGGUCUCUGCUCCAGCCAAGAAUCCAUAAAAGCAGAUCUUGUAUGACAGAGCAGGGAUGAUAAAAACUGGAUGCUCUCUUGGAUAUAUGUUUGUUACUGGUAGAAGGUUGCAAGAUGUAUUUUACCUAAG
Catharus ustulatus (Swainson's thrush) is the source of this 1287-nucleotide long non-coding RNA. RefSeq lists it as uncharacterized. NCBI's taxonomy places the organism in Eukaryota, Metazoa, Chordata, Aves, Passeriformes, Turdidae. The record is from RefSeq and is a predicted model, not a curated record. The transcript has 4 exons.